AUUAGGCUUUGAUCCUGGCUCAGGAUGAACGCUAGCGGCAGGCCUCAUACAUGCAAGUCGGACGGUAGAGAUUCUUUCGGGAAUUUUGAGAGUGGCGCACGGGUGCGUAACGCGUAUGCAACCUGCCUUUUACCGGGGGAUAGCCCGGGGAAACCCGGAUUAAUACCCCAUAGUAUCAGGAGACGGCAUCGUUUUCUGAUUAAAGAUUCAUCGGUAGAAGAUGGGCAUGCGUAGGAUUAGCUAGUUGACGGGGUAACGGCCCACCAAGGCGACGAUCCUUAGGGGUUCUGAGAGGAAGGUCCCCCACACUGGCACUGAGAUACGGGCCAGACUCCUACGGGAGGCAGCAGUAGGGAAUAUUGGGCAAUGGUCGGAAGACUGACCCAGCCAUGC
This 393-nucleotide ribosomal RNA is filed under the name uncultured Flexibacteraceae bacterium. Its description in RNAcentral is "bacterial SSU rRNA". It matches the Rfam family "Bacterial small subunit ribosomal RNA", at positions 1 to 397 of the family's 1533-position model. The record is from RNAcentral. Lineage: Bacteria; Pseudomonadati; Bacteroidota; Cytophagia; Cytophagales; Cytophagaceae.